CAGAGAGGAGACAUUCUGACUGGAGACUUUCAGUUCGCCCACCACUGCUGGGUGUUUUAAGCAUUUCAGUUUGGCAGUAAACAUAAAAAGUUUAGUUACAGAGGCGUAAGCCUGGAAUACUCAGUGACGGGCUCACUGCCAUGAAUAAUUGUGACAAAACAACAGCUGCUACGAGAUCAUGAGGCAGUGAGCCCCACCUCAGUACACUUGUGUCCCACCUAAGGACUUUCCAAAGUUCGGGGAAACCAGGCCAGCUGAGCGUUCAAAUCGACACUCCCAUCACACUCCAGGUACCUCAAAGAAAGUUGAAAGAAGGUGAUUCAAAUUGCCAGGAAGAGUUUGGGAACAUCCACACUGCCAAUCAGUUUUUUAAAACAAAAUUUUUAAAAAGGCAUAAUCUAUCCACGGAACAAGACUACGUCAGCACCACAAAUAAUCAAGGACAAAUCACACACAACGAAGGAAGUGCUCAUCACUGCUACCCGUUUUGUGCACACAAGACAGUCCCUAUCUCUCAACUAGGAACGUCAGCCACUUUAGGCUUUUGAAUGUUGGUCUUUCUCCUGUUGUCUUCUACCUACUGACUUUUCAAUCAGCUCUCCUCCUGUGGCCGGAUCCAUUUCACGGCAUAUCACUCCCACCUCAGAAGACUGGGUCACAGAAGUUAUUUCAGGACUCAUAAGUGAGCAAAGGCCUCAAGCUCAAAUAUUAGCUGAAUGACUGAAUAAUUACUAUAGGUAUGGUCCUCUGGACAAGCAAUCUGCCUAAUAUCUCAGGGAAGGAAAGGCCACAGAACUGCAAGCUGUAAGAGAGAUUACCUACACUAACCAAAUCAGGUUCUGACUGAGGAGGGUAAGGGAGUUCAGCAAAGCGAAAGAGACCAACUACCUCCAUUUUGACCUUCAUCUGUACUUGGUAAGUGAUUAAGUUCUUCUUUCCAGCUUGACUCUUAACUCUGGCAAAAGACCCUGCAGGCAAAGCAUUUUCUAAUGGGAACUGAAACUAUCCCCUCAAGCAAUAAGGACCACCCUGAGCCAGCAAGACUUGGCCCGUGACAGUGAUCAACCAGACCUUUACUGCCCACCCAUGCAUGUACCCACUGACUUUUGUCCCACAUUUUCCUCAUAUAAACCUGGGAGUAUCUUCAGCACUUUGGAGACAGUCUUUGAGAUGCAUGAGUCCCCUGUCUUCUUAGUGUGUUGGCCUCACUGAAAUAAAUUCCUGUCUUGUUUCACCACCA
Long non-coding RNA from Lynx canadensis (Canada lynx), 1240 nucleotides. RefSeq lists it as uncharacterized. NCBI's taxonomy places the organism in Eukaryota, Metazoa, Chordata, Mammalia, Carnivora, Felidae. The transcript is spliced from 2 exons. The record is from RefSeq and is a predicted model, not a curated record.